GGAUUUUAUACUCACCUAGAAGGUGCAGUUCAGUAAUGAUACCCUGGUCUGGAAGACAGCUAUGAAUGGGACUAAAGAGUUGGUAUUUGAGGGGAACCAGGAUACUGAAAAUCCAGUGUUGGCCCUAUUUAAUAAGUCGUCAACAGUGGCACGUUACGUCCACAUCAAUCCACAGACCUGGUACGAGAAUGGAACUAUCUGUCUUAGAGAUGAGGUUCUGGGCUGUACCCUCCCAGAUCCCAACAACAUCUACGCUUGGCAGCAGACGGAGCAAGGCACUUAGAACAUACUGGACUUCAGACACCACAACUACAAGGAGAUGAGGAAAGGAAGUCCUGAAGUGGAGACCUUCAACACUCACCGAUAGGCUACUGGUGUAGUUUGAGGGUUAUUUAGAUGGUGGCUGGAUGACUCUCUAUGUAGACAAACACUGAAUGAAGACUAGUUAAUCUUUUGCACAUAUAGUGCUGCAUUCAUAACCAAGUAGGAAUGUGGUAUUUACCACAUGCGACUGGGAAAAAUCCUCUUGAACGCCCUUCCAACUAGUAAUUACUAGUGGGAAACUCGUCUAUCGUCCCUGACCUCCGAUUUCUCCCACAUGUUGACCUCUGACGUCACCUACUAUGGAAAUGACCUCGAUAACAGCAUUUCUGGCAGUUAAAUGUAACAACAAAACAUUAUUUAUAAAAAGCAAUCUAUUCAUAUGUUUUUUUAACACUAUCAUUUGUUUACAAGCAUGUUAGCUGUACUUUUAGUUUAUGGUUGUCAAUUAACCAAUUGCCAUUGCUCAACGAGGUCAAAGCAUUUGAAUGCAUCCAAUUGGUAUUUACGACUUCAACUGUUAAUUACCACCUUCCCACUUGGUUAUGAACUCAGCAGAGGUCGCAUUCCCCUGCUCAACCAA
Molecule: long non-coding RNA, 904 nt
Organism: Coregonus clupeaformis (lake whitefish)
Lineage: Eukaryota; Metazoa; Chordata; Actinopteri; Salmoniformes; Salmonidae
Exons: 3
Source: RefSeq, a predicted model, not a curated record